CCACCAGUGUUAAGGCCAAUGCUUGCCACUGGCCUCCAAAGAAUGCUCCCUAUUUUUUAAUCUAAAUUCAGCUCCCUGGCGAGUUUUCUCUCAGUGGCUCACAGCAUCUGGCAAAUUAGUGAUGUCUUUAGGAAAAGCCCCAUCGAGGCUGUGUUCCCACCAGUGACGACUGCCAGGAACUGAAGCUGGUUCUCACUCAACAGUCUACCCUGGAGCCUUCUAUAGCAGGAACUCUAAGCAGCAGCAGUUGCUGUUUAAAAGUCACGGCUCCCAACCGCAGCUCACGUAAGCUGCCUCCUAGCCAUCUCUCUUGAUAAUGAGACCUCUUGGCAGUAAACAGGCAAAUUAUCAGCAGGGUCCUCUAUGGGCUUUCCAGUCUCAGAUAGCUAUGGCUACCCAAUAAAUGAUUAUGAAUAAAGUCACAUAAGCUCUUUGAAGAAAAUUAUUGCAAUUUCAAUGCACAUUUCCAUUCAGUGUUAUACUUUUGGUUGUCCUAUAGCCCUGUUCUGUUUUGCUGAAGGCCAAGA
This 527-nucleotide long non-coding RNA is filed under the name Bos taurus (domestic cattle). RNAcentral describes it as "long non-coding RNA NONBTAT024321". The record is from RNAcentral. Lineage: Eukaryota; Metazoa; Chordata; Mammalia; Artiodactyla; Bovidae.